RNAcentral lists this ribosomal RNA (750 nucleotides) under uncultured bacterium. Its description in RNAcentral is "bacterial SSU rRNA". It matches the Rfam family "Bacterial small subunit ribosomal RNA", at positions 61 to 811 of the family's 1533-position model. The record is from RNAcentral.
GUCGACGGUAGAGGGGGCAACCCCUCGAGAGUGGCGAACGGGUGAGUAAUAUAUCGGAACGUGCCCAGUCGUGGGGGAUAACGUAGCGAAAGUUACGCUAAUACCGCAUACGAUCUACGGAUGAAAGCGGGGGAUCGCAAGACCUCGCGCGAUUGGAGCGGCCGAUAUCAGAUUAGGUAGUUGGUGGGGUAAAGGCUCACCAAGCCAACGAUCUGUAGCUGGUCUGAGAGGACGACCAGCCACACUGGAACUGAGACACGGUCCAGACUCCUACGGGAGGCAGCAGUGGGGAAUUUUGGACAAUGGACGCAAGUCUGAUCCAGCCAUUCCGCGUGCAGGAUGAAGGCCCUCGGGUUGUAAACUGCUUUUGUACGGAACGAAAAGGUCUCUAUUAAUACUAGGGGCUCAUGACGGUACCGUAAGAAUAAGCACCGGCUAACUACGUGCCAGCAGCCGCGGUAAUACGUAGGGUGCAAGCGUUAAUCGGAAUUACUGGGCGUAAAGCGUGCGCAGGCGGUUAUGUAAGACAGAGGUGAAAUCCCCGGGCUCAACCUGGGAACUGCCUUUGUGACUGCAUAGCUAGAGUACGGUAGAGGGGGAUGGAAUUCCGCGUGUAGCAGUGAAAUGCGUAGAUAUGCGGAGGAACACCGAUGGCGAAGGCAAUCCCCUGGACCUGUACUGACGCUCAUGCACGAAAGCGUGGGGAGCAAACAGGAUUAGAUACCCUGGUAGUCCACGCCCUAAACGAUG